Triplophysa rosa is the source of this 3158-nucleotide long non-coding RNA. RefSeq lists it as uncharacterized. NCBI's taxonomy places the organism in Eukaryota, Metazoa, Chordata, Actinopteri, Cypriniformes, Nemacheilidae. The transcript has 2 exons. The record is from RefSeq and is a predicted model, not a curated record.
GACUUCCCCUGGGUGUCUCGGCAGUGCCAGAAGUGUUCGAGUUUUUUUCUCUAAAAGAGCAAUUUUCUCCAGCGCGGCAUGUCCCGCUGUUCUCGUGGGUGCAACACACUCAUCGAGGAGGGGGACGGACACGAUGUCUGCUUCCAGCACGCUGGGGCAGACAUUGUGGAUACUUCCUGCCCGCACUGCGGGCGGUUGACGAUUCAGACGUGGCGUUCACAGGUGGCUGUGUUCCCAAGGGACUCAGCUACCACCUCGUCUGCUUCCCGUUCCGUGACGGCAGGACUACGGCCAUGCCGUACGCUACGGCAAGCAGCGAGGGUGAUAUGAGGAUUACUGUGGGCGUUAAUCCGUCAGCCACUAACUCACGGACCGUUCGCACCUCGUCUCGCUCGUCUGACCGUUCCCCAGGAGACAGUCCCACCGUCUUGUUCCUCAACCACGUAUUUGGAAACGGUGCGUGAUGAUGAGAUGUCACUUGCAGCAUCGGGGGGUGACGUACUGCCAUCCAACUCCGACGAUUCCUCUGGGCUCCCUCCCUCGGGGGGUCGAGCCCAGGAAGAAGCGGAUGUCAAAAUUUCAGCCAUGCUUUCCCGGGCCGCCAUGAGUGUUGGGUUGCAGUGCCCGCACUGUCUCUCCCAGCGCUCGCGGCCGGAUAUAUGGUGACUCGGGUUUGAGCGCUGCCCCUUUUCGGCACGUCCACGUCAAACAAGUUCUGUCGCCCUCUCUUCCCUCGAGGGUGAGGCAGCUAGAGGAUAUGUCAAUGUCCCCCAGGUGGAGUGUGCCGGCAGGCGGCGGCCACCUGGGGGGCUCGACCUAGACUCCUGUCCUAAGCAUGUAGGGUUUCAGCAUCUCUGGUGUCGAGAGCUUACAUUGCUGCGGGCCAACCUGCCUCCUCUCUCCACGCUAUGGCCAUCCUGCCAGGACAAGGCUUUGAGAGAUCUCCCCGAGGGUAAGACCGAACCAGCGCUUAUGCAGGAACUCCGCGCCGCCACCGACCUCGCUCUACGGGCGACCAAGGUGACCGCGCGGGCCCUGGGUCGGGCGAUGUCCACACUUGUGGUCCAUGACAGAUACCUCUGGCCGAACCUUGCACAGAUGGGUAGUGUUUCCCAGGAAAGCUUUAUUUGGUGUCUUUCGUCUAUGUGUCAUUUGUCACAUUCGUGAACAGAACGAAGAUGAUCCGGCUGCUAGCCCGCGUGUGAAUGCUGCGGGUGACAGGUAGCAUUGUACACAGAAACUUUUAGUAUUAUUUGUGGCGGCGUUUAGUACUUUUACUUUUAAACGCCAAUAAGCACUGACAUCUGGGGAUUCAUCAGUUGUAAAAACCAAGAAAGUACGAACUGAUGAGAGUUUACAAAGAAAAAGGGAAUGUGUUAGGACUCGUGUGAAAACAAGAAUUAAUAUUGGCAAGGGAUUUCAAAGGUGGCGUGAACUCCAUGAUCUGAAAGGAUUGAAAACGGAUGCAGACAUGGCUUUAUUUCUUCUGAACAGAACAGGUAAGACAUUUCAAUAUUUCAAUAGAUAACACAAAUACCGUAGCGCACUUGUUGUGUUAAUUCAGAUGGGUACUUGUCAUGGUUCUGCCCCAUCUUGUCUUGCUUUUCUUGACCUAGUGGCAGAAUCAUGACAGAACCUCUUGUUUUACGUGGAGAGAGAUGUUUUGGCCCUGUUGGCCAUCCACUCUCCGGUGUCGCGUCUCUGUUCCCGCCCUUUCGUCUCUUUAAUUGCUUGUUAUUGGUUUCAUGCCCCACACCUGUUCCCUCUUGAUUUGUCCCCUUAUUUAAUGCCCCUGUGUCCUCUGUCUUGGGCUGGAUCAUUGUACUGUUGUGUUGUGUUUGUGUCAUUGUGGUGAGUUCCUGUGCUGUAGUCAGUCUAGUUUAUUGUGGUUAAUGUCAAGUGUUGUUAUUAUUUCUAGUGUAGUUAGUCCUUGUUCCUGUUUCCAUGUUUUGUUAUGUUCCCCAUCGUGGGUUUUUGUUUUGUAUUAAUAUAUUAUUAAAGUCUUGUUUAAACAAGACUUUAAUAACAACAAAAAAAAAAGGAGAAUAGCGCUUGAGUCCUUGAGACGCUCCUGUUUCCUGCAACAGGCUUCCUGUUUCCUGCAUCGCUGCCGGCGGCUCGUUUGUAUCAGUGCUCUUACCACUUCGCUCUAAUAUUAGUGUAUUUUAUUGUCGUUGCUAACUUAUCCUGAUAUCUCAAUAACCCUGUUCUUGUUAUCUACUUGAAAAUUCUAAACCAAAAGUGAUAGUUAACUUAACGCCGUUAGCAUAGCAAUAGCGUGUUAGCUUGCUUUCUGUUUACACUGUGGAAUAUCAUCUUGCCUCUGGUUUGUCUUGUGUGCUAACCGUUUCUCUUUUUAAGCGAUUAUACUACGAUCCAUCGAGCAACCUUGGUUACCACAGCGAGCAGGAUGCAGUUCAUGGCCUGACCUGAUGGUAGAGCGGAGAAUGGGAAGUGGGGACCUGACAAGAGCUGAGAUGAUAGAGCUGGAUAAAGAAGGACGCGGUCUCUUGACAUGUCUUCACCACAAAAUUUCAAAUGCUAUUAGAUUAUUAAUGAUAAUCUUAAACUAUAAUUUAUUUUAUUAUUAAGUUUAUUUAUUUUAUUUAGCCUUGUUGUGCAAGUUCUCUGGAGCUUGUGCAGAGGCAGCAGCUUUUGCCAGAGGGGAACUGGAAUCCCCUGGUUGGGCCUGGGUUCUCCUGAGGUUUUUUUUCUCGAUUAGAGUUUUGGGUUCCUCGCCACCGUUUGCAUACUGUUUUUGCACUAUCUGCCUGACCGGGGGGGCUGCUUUAGAAUCUUAAAGUUUUACUUAAUUAAUAUUGCAUAUAGGAAUUUAUUAUCUGUUAUAUUUGACCUGUGCUUCUCUCUCCUUUAUCCUAAAUGUGUGCUCUCACUGAGCGUGUGUGUGUGUGCGUACUUGUCUGUGUACGUACGUGUGUGUGUGUCUCUGUGUCUGUGUGUGUUGGUGUGUGUGCGUGUUGUGUGUGUGGAGUGUUUUGUGUGUGGGUGUGUCUGUCUUCUGUGUUUUCAACCUUUUCUUGUUUUUGCAGGUACAACUUUGAUUGUUUUGCUUGUAGUCAAUGUGUCUCCUGUACAGCUGCUUUGUAACAAUGAAAAUUGUAAAAGCGCUAUAUAAAUAAAGUUGAGUUGAGAGUUGA